AGUACCUUUAAAUCAGCCCUGUGAGGCUGGCAAGGUAGCGUGAUAACAUGAAGUCUCAGUCGGCCCGCAGCCGGCAAGACAGGGUGUCUGCAUAUGCCAAUUCCUUAGUACGGAGUUUGGGUUGCGGAUGGCUUGUCUUCGCUGACGGAGCCACUGGGUUAUCAGCUAACUCCUUGCCCAACAGGCAAGGAGCUUUUUUAU
Non-coding RNA from Paenibacillus curdlanolyticus YK9, 201 nucleotides. Lineage: Bacteria; Bacillati; Bacillota; Bacilli; Caryophanales; Paenibacillaceae. The record is from Rfam.